GCCCAGACUCCUACGGGAGGCAGCAGUGAGGAAUAUUGGUCAAUGGCCGGAAGGCUGAACCAGCCAAGCCGCGUGAAGGACGAAGGUGCCAAGCAUUGUAAACUUCUUUUGUCAAGGGACAAAAUCAGGCUCGAGAGCCUGACCGAGGGUACUUGAAGAAAAAGCAUCGGCUAACUGCGUGCCAGCAGCCGCGGUAAUACGUAGGGAGCGAGCGUUGUCCGGAAUUACUGGGUGUAAAGGGAGCGUAGGCGGGCUUGUAAGUUGAACGUCUAAUCCACCGGCUCAACCGGUGAUCGCGUUCAAAACUGCAGGUCUUGAGUGAAGUAGAGGCAGGCGGAAUUCCUAGUGUAGCGGUGAAAUGCGUAGAUAUUAGGAGGAACACCAGUGGCGAAGGCGGCCUGCUGGGCUUUAACUGACGCUGAGGCUCGAAAGCGUGGGGAGCAAACAGGAUUAGAUACCCCAGUAAUA
Molecule: ribosomal RNA, 468 nt
Filed under: uncultured bacterium
Lineage: Bacteria
Description: bacterial SSU rRNA
Rfam family: Bacterial small subunit ribosomal RNA
Source: RNAcentral